AGUGGGGAAUCUUCCACAAUGGGCGCAAGCCUGAUGGAGCAACGCCGCGUGAAUGAAGAAGGCCUUAGGGUCGUAAAGUUCUGUCCUUAGGGAAGAACCGUGGGUAUAGCAAAUGAUACCCACCUGACGGUACCUUUGGAGGAAGCACUGGCUAACUACGUGCCAGCAGCCGCGGUAAUACGUAGAGUGCAAGCGUUGUCCGGAAUUAUUGGGCGUAAAGGGUACGCAGGCGGAUAGUAAAGUCAAGCGUGAAAGGUGUCGGCUUAACCGACAGACUGCGUUUGAAACUGAUUAUCUUGAGUGUAACAGAGGAGAGUGGAAUUCCUAGUGUAGUGGUGAAAUACGUAGAUAUUAGGAAGAACACCAGUGGCGAAGGCGACUCUCUGGGUUAACACUGACGCUGAGGUACGAAAGCUGGGGGAGCAAACGGGAUUAGAUACCCCGGUAGUCCCAGCCGUAAACGAUGGAUACUAGGUGUUGGAGGUUCGAAUCCUUCAGUGCCGGAGUUAACGCAUUAAGUAUCCCGCCUGGGGAUUACGAUCGCAAGAUUG
Molecule: ribosomal RNA, 551 nt
Filed under: uncultured bacterium
Lineage: Bacteria
Description: bacterial SSU rRNA
Rfam family: Bacterial small subunit ribosomal RNA
Source: RNAcentral